GAUUAAUUAGUCCAAUGAAAGACUUCUGAUUUCGGCUCAGAAAACCCUGGAUCAAGUCCAUGAUUAAUCU
Molecule: transfer RNA, 70 nt
Filed under: Monognathus jesperseni
Lineage: Eukaryota; Metazoa; Chordata; Actinopteri; Anguilliformes; Monognathidae
Description: tRNA-Arg
Rfam family: tRNA
About the family: Transfer RNA (tRNA) molecules are approximately 80 nucleotides in length.
Source: RNAcentral